AGCUGGCCUUCUCGGAGGCAUCGUGCACGCCCUGCCCGUCCCAUAUCAUACCUGUGAACUUUUUGGUAGGCGGGUUUGUGUCGGCCUCGAAAGGGGUCGACCGGCCCUCCGGCCGUCUUUAUAUACACACCAUACGAGUCUUUAGAAUGUUUGUGCGUCUCGACGCAUCUUAUAUAUAACUUUCAGCGACGGAUCUCUUGGCUCUCGCAUCGAUGAAGAACGCAGCGAAACGCGAUAAGUAAUGUGAAUUGCAGAAUUCAGUGAAUCAUCGAAUCUUUGAACGCACCUUGCGCUCCUCGGUAUUCCGAGGAGCAUGCCUGUUUGAGUGUCAUGAAAUUAUCAACCCCUCCUCCUUCAUCGGCGGUGGGGCUUGGACUUGGAGGCUUUGCGGGCUUUUAACGAGUCGGCUCCUCUCAAAUGCAUUAGCUCGAACCCCUGCGGAUCGGCCGUCGGUGUGAUAUAAUGUCUACGUCGUGGUCGUGAGCGUCGGAUCGGCUUCUAAUGGUCCCCUUUCGGAGGCGGAAUUUGAACUUGUGACCUCAAAUCAGGUAGGACUACCCGCUGAACUUAAGCAUAUCAAUAAG
This 584-nucleotide ribosomal RNA is filed under the name Sparassis latifolia. Its description in RNAcentral is "eukaryotic LSU rRNA". The stretch from base 178 to 331 matches the Rfam family "5.8S ribosomal RNA". Lineage: Eukaryota; Fungi; Basidiomycota; Agaricomycetes; Polyporales; Sparassidaceae. The record is from RNAcentral.